UACGUAGGGUGCAAGCGUUAAUCGGAAUUACUGGGCGUAAAGCGUGCGCAGGCGGUUUUGUAAGUCAGAUGUGAAAUCCCCGGGCUUAACCUGGGAACUGCGUUUGAAACUACAAGGCUAGAGUGUGGCAGAGGGGGGGUGGAAUUCCACGUGUAGCAGUGAAAUGCGUAGAUAUCAUUUGGAACGCCAAUGGUGAAAACAGCUCGCUGGGGAUGUACUGACGCUGAGACACGAAAGCCAGGGGAGCAAACGGG
This 254-nucleotide ribosomal RNA is filed under the name uncultured bacterium. RNAcentral describes it as "partial 16S ribosomal RNA". It matches the Rfam family "Bacterial small subunit ribosomal RNA", at positions 524 to 776 of the family's 1533-position model. The record is from RNAcentral.